UACGUAGGUGGCAAGCGUUGUCCGGAAUUAUUGGGCGUAAAGCGCGCGCAGGCGGUCCUUUAAGUCUGAUGUGAAAUCCCACGGCUCAACCGUGGAAGGUCAUUGGAAACUGGGGGACUUGAGUACAGAAGAGGAAAGUGGAAUUCCAAGUGUAGCGGUGAAAUGCGUAGAGAUUUGGAGGAACACCCGUGGCGAAGGCGGCUCUCUGGGACGGUACUGACGCUGAGACGCGAAAGCGUGGGGAGCGAACAGG
This 253-nucleotide ribosomal RNA is filed under the name uncultured bacterium. RNAcentral describes it as "partial 16S ribosomal RNA". It matches the Rfam family "Bacterial small subunit ribosomal RNA", at positions 524 to 776 of the family's 1533-position model. The record is from RNAcentral.